Theobroma cacao (cacao) is the source of this 472-nucleotide long non-coding RNA. RefSeq lists it as uncharacterized. The record is from RefSeq and is a predicted model, not a curated record. NCBI's taxonomy places the organism in Eukaryota, Viridiplantae, Streptophyta, Magnoliopsida, Malvales, Malvaceae.
AUCACAAGACAUGACAGACAAGAACUUGGACUGCACCUGGUUUUGGCAGGUUGUUGGUGAAUCGCAGUAGAAUUGAUCAAUAAUGAUGGGGUUGGCAACAUCUUCCAUCCUCACAUUUUCGAAACGCACCCCACGAACAUAACCGGAACCACCCUUUAUUUAAGAAUCACAAGGAGAUACAUGUCAUUCUCAAAGAGAUGAAUUGGUAUGAGUGCUAUAUUCUUGUUUUUUCAGAAAAACAGAUGCAAGGGAAGACAAAAGACAAGGUUUAAGAACCUGUUCCUAUUUUGCAGUCUUGAAGAACAACAUUAGUUGAUCCAGUUAUGUGGAUCCCAUCAGUGUUUGGACUGUCUCCUGGAGAUGAGACUCGUACUUCAUAUACUCGUACAGAUUCAGACUUGGAAAUGACGAAAUUCAUCUGUUGGCUGUUCUGAAUGAUGCCCACCAUUUGCCGCCAGAGCCAUCAAUAACU